RNAcentral lists this ribosomal RNA (497 nucleotides) under uncultured bacterium. RNAcentral's name for it is "partial 16S ribosomal RNA". It matches the Rfam family "Bacterial small subunit ribosomal RNA", at positions 28 to 507 of the family's 1533-position model. The record is from RNAcentral.
GACGAACGCUGGCGGCGUGCCUAAUACAUGCAAGUUGAGCGAUGAAGAUUGGUGCUUGCACCAAUUUGAAGAGCAGCGAACGGGUGAGUAACGCGUGGGAAAUCUGCCUUUGAGCGGGGGACAACAUUUGGAAACGAAUGCUAAUACCGCAUAAUAACUUUAAACAUAAGUUUUAAGUUUGAAAGAUGCAAUUGCAUCACUCAAAGAUGAUCCCGCGUUGUAUUAGCUAGUUGGUGAGGUAAAGGCUCACCAAGGCGAUGAUACAUAGCCGACCUGAGAGGGUGAUCGGCCACAUUGGGACUGAGACACGGCCCAAACUCCUACGGGAGGCAGCAGUAGGGAAUCUUCGGCAAUGGACGAAAGUCUGACCGAGCAACGCCGCGUGAGUGAAGAAGGUUUUCGGAUCGUAAAACUCUGUUGGUAGAGAAGAACGUUGGUGAGAGUGGAAAGCUCAUCAAGUGACGGUAACUACCCAGAAAGGGACGGCUAACUACGUG